Molecule: ribosomal RNA, 311 nt
Filed under: Amyelois transitella
Lineage: Eukaryota; Metazoa; Arthropoda; Insecta; Lepidoptera; Pyralidae
Description: partial 16S ribosomal RNA
Source: RNAcentral
UAGUCUCUUAAUUGGUGACUUGUAUGAAUGAUUUGAUGAAAUAUAAACUGUCUCUUUAUUAUUUGUAAAAUUUAAUUUUUUAAUUAAAAAGUUAAAAUAAAUUUAAAAGACGAGAAGACCCUAUAGAGUUUUAUAAAUUUAUUUAUAAAUAUAUAUUUAUAUAUAUAAGUAUAUAAAUAAAUGAAUUUAUUUUGUUGGGGUGAUAGAAAAAUAAAAUUAACUUUUUUUUAAAAAAAACAUGAAUAAAUGAGUAAAUGAUCCAGAAGUUUUGAUUAAAAGAUAAAAUUACCUUAGGGAUAACAGCGUAAUUU